This is a long non-coding RNA of Prinia subflava (tawny-flanked prinia), 358 nucleotides long. RefSeq lists it as uncharacterized. Lineage: Eukaryota; Metazoa; Chordata; Aves; Passeriformes; Cisticolidae. The transcript is spliced from 2 exons. The record is from RefSeq and is a predicted model, not a curated record.
CGUCUCGUUGCCAGGGGCGGCCAUGGCGGACCGGACGGGGAGAACCCGGCCCGGGCGCGGCCGCCGCCCGCGGGGACUCUUCCAUCUCCUGCCGUUGCCGCGGCUCAUGCGUGUCAUUUGAUUUGAGGAUGAAAGCGGCAGCUGGUGGAAGAAGGAGUCGGUGAAAGGCGCGGCAGGACGAGGAGAGGAGGAAGGAGGGAUGGAGACAGUGAGAAUUCGCUCGAAGAACGCCUGAAGGUUUUGCCUGGCUCGGCCGGAGCUGUCCCCGCCUGCUGAGCACCUUCAGCUUCAAACCCUUCCCCUGAGCUCCUCUUGUGCCUGUGCGGGGAGAUGUCAAAAAUAAAAAGAGAAAAGUUCA